GACGAACGCUGGCGGCGUGCUUAACACAUACAAGUCGAGCGAUGAAACACCUUCGGGUGCGGAUUAGCGGCGAACGGGUGAGGAACACGUGAGGAAUCUGCCUUCCACUCUGGGAUAACUCCGGGAAACCGGGGCUAAUACCGGAUACUUUCAACUGGCGGCAUCGCCGGUUGAAGAAAGUUUUUCGGUGGAAGAUGACCUCGCGGCCUAUCAGCUUGUUGGUGAGGUAAAGGCUCACCAAGGCGACGACGGGUAGCCGGCCUGAGAGGGCGAACGGCCACACUGGGACUGAGACACGGCCCAGACUCCUACGGGAGGCAGCAGUGGGGAAUAUUGGGCAAUGGAGGAAACUCUGACCCAGCGACACCGCGUGAGGGAUGAAGGCCUUCGGGUUGUAAACCUCUUUCAGCAGGGAAUAAGCGAAAGUGAAGGUACCUGCAGAAGAAGCACCGGCUAACUAUGUGCCAGCCGCCGCGGUAA
This 480-nucleotide ribosomal RNA is filed under the name uncultured bacterium. Its description in RNAcentral is "partial 16S ribosomal RNA". It matches the Rfam family "Bacterial small subunit ribosomal RNA", at positions 28 to 523 of the family's 1533-position model. The record is from RNAcentral.